Molecule: ribosomal RNA, 500 nt
Filed under: uncultured bacterium
Lineage: Bacteria
Description: bacterial SSU rRNA
Rfam family: Bacterial small subunit ribosomal RNA
Source: RNAcentral
AGGCUUAACACAUGCAAGUCGAACGAGAAGCCAGACUUCGGUUUGGUGGAAAGUGGCGCACGGGUGAGUAGCGCGUGGGAAUCUACCCAGCAGUGCGGGAUAACUCCGGGAAACCGGUGCUAAUACCGCAUACGCCCUUCGGGGGAAAGAUUUAUCGCUGUUGGAUGAGCCCGCGUCGGAUUAGCUUGUUGGUGAGGUAAAGGCUCACCAAGGCGACGAUCCGUAGCUGGUCUGAGAGGAUGAUCAGCCACACUGGGACUGAGACACGGCCCAGACUCCUACGGGAGGCAGCAGUGGGGAAUAUUGGACAAUGGGCGCAAGCCUGAUCCAGACCAUGCCGCGUGAGUGAAGAAGGCCUUAGGGUUGUAAAGCUCUUUCAGUGGGGAAGAUAAUGACGGUACCCACAGAAGAAGCCCCGGCUAACUCCGUGCCAGCAGACGCGGUAAUACGGAGGGGGCUAGGGUUGUUCGGAAUUACUGGGCGUAAAGCGCGCGUAGGCG